Molecule: transfer RNA, 78 nt
Filed under: Cordylochernes scorpioides
Lineage: Eukaryota; Metazoa; Arthropoda; Arachnida; Pseudoscorpiones; Chernetidae
Description: tRNA-Thr
Source: RNAcentral
UCCAGGGAUGUAAAGCCUAGUGAGCAUGGCAUCUGCCCGGUAAGUGGAACACUGUGGGUUCGAUUCCCAUCCCUGGAU